CAGUAGCCGCGGUAAUACGAGGGGGGCAAGCGUUGUUCGGAAUUAUUGGGCGUAAAGGGUGCGUAGGCGGUUUGGCAAGUUUGGUGUGAAAUCUUCGGGCUCAACUCGAAGUCUGCAUCGAAAACUGCCGGGCUUGAGUAUGGGAGAGGUGAGUGGAAUUUCCGGUGUAGCGGUGAAAUGCAUAGAUAUUACUUAGAACACCAAUUGCGAAGGCAGGUCACUAAGAUUUAACUGACGCUGAUGGACGAAAGCGUGGGGAGCGAACAGGAUUAGAUACCCCCGUAGUCCCUGUCUCUUAUAC
RNAcentral lists this ribosomal RNA (301 nucleotides) under uncultured bacterium. RNAcentral's name for it is "partial 16S ribosomal RNA". It matches the Rfam family "Bacterial small subunit ribosomal RNA", at positions 509 to 807 of the family's 1533-position model. The record is from RNAcentral.